This 504-nucleotide ribosomal RNA is filed under the name uncultured bacterium. Its description in RNAcentral is "bacterial SSU rRNA". It matches the Rfam family "Bacterial small subunit ribosomal RNA", at positions 21 to 518 of the family's 1533-position model. The record is from RNAcentral.
GGCUCAGGAUGAACGCUAGCGGCAGGCUUAACACAUGCAAGUCGAGGGGCAUCGGGAGUAGCAAUACUUGCCGGCGACCGGCGCAAGGGUGCGUAACGCGUGAGCAACAUGCCCGUAUCAGGGGGAUAAUCCAUGGAAACGUGGUCUAAUACCCCAUAGUAAUUAUGUAAGGCAUCUUAUAUAAUUUAAAGCUUUGGUGGAUACGGAUUGGCUCGCGUGACAUUAGCUGGAUGGUAAGGUAACGGCUUACCAUGGCUACGAUGUCUAGGGGUUCUGAGAGGAAGGUCCCCCCACACUGGAACUGAGACACGGUCCAGACUCCUACGGGAGGCAGCAGUGAGGAAUAUUGGACAAUGGAUGGAAAUCUGAUCCAGCCAUGCCGCGUGCAGGAAAGACGGCCCUAUGGGUUGUAAACUGCUUUUGUAUGGGAGCAAUAAGGGCUACGUGUAGUCCGAUGAGAGUACCAUACGAAUAAGCACCGGCUAACUCCGUGCCAGCAGCAGC